AAAAAAACUUGUUAGCAGUAUAAAGUAGCAGAAAAAGGUGGAGCUGGUGAGACGUGGAAGACUCUUUUGAUGUGGUGUGGGCUAGGACAGGGGGGAGAAAAAAUAAAACUUUUUUAAAAAAGAGAGUUAUUAAUAAAAUGUAUAUGGAUUUAUUUACAUGGCCACCAUCUGUUUCGUAGGUGUUUCCUCAGGGUUGGAUCCAGGUGGAGGUUUUUUUGAAGAACCGAUCCAGGUGGAGGUGUCUAACAAUAGAAAGAGACAACAAUGAGUUUUAGUGAUGACUUAAUUUAUGUGAGUCACUGAUGUGUAAUCGUGAUUGUAAGCCAAAAAAACUCUGGAUAAUAGAAACACAAAUGGAUGCAACAGUGUUGAUGAUGUUAGUAGUUUGUAAGUAUGGCAGCUCGUGCUCGCCCUGAGUUGCUCCUGGUGGUGAUGUACCGGAAGGUAUCUGCAAUUUGAGUUCACACAAUUUUUUUAGACAUGUGUGAUAACAAUUAAAGAUAUGUUUGCUGCUAUAUUUAUAUUUGGCUAGCUGAAGGCAUUACAAUAACAUAAGAAAUGUAACACACCAAGGUAUAGGUAAUCUUCCCCAAAUCAAGAUUAAGGUAUCUUUGCUGGUAGUUUUAUAUUGUUUCAGUCUAACUUAUAAAUAAAUUCUAAAAAUAUGCUACUUUACCUUGUUCUAGGAAAUUCAGAAAGAGGGGAAGAGGGACGAGAGAAGGGAGAGCAACAUAAAGAUGCAUUCAUGAAACAUGAUCUCUAGGCCUAGGCUAUUCACUGAGAUUGCCUAAAUGGCCACUAUACAUAAUUAAAAGAUGUUAACACAUACAUGUGCUAGCAGCACUAUGGAAACAUUAACUCAGGUGUUGUCCUCCAAAAGUCAUGUCCUUAGUGACCAUGCAUUUCAAUUUAAUUGGAGCAAAACAUACAGGUCAUAAAAAGGACUAAUUAUUUUUGAGCUCCCACCAAGGAUCAAUCACUGGCAGGGCAAAAAUAUUAAUGAUAGAUCAUAGGGAUGGUUGCUUUCAGGCUAUUAGCUAUAGAGAGACAAUAAAAAGAAGAAAAGAGGAAUGUUAUUUUGCAGUAACUGCUGCAUUGGGUACAUAAGUCUUAUUCUUUUUUUCUUUAUAGAACAAUCAGGGUAAAUUAAAUCUAAAACAAAUUAUGGAUAGGUAACAAUUGUUCAUUUAACUGGGACCAUAUAAAGGACUUAUUAGCCAUUGCAUCAUUUUACUGGAAGUUACAUACGUCAUAAAGGACUUAUCGAGCACUACAUCAAAAAACCUAGCUAGUUCAUGAUAUCACCCAAAGGCUGACCAACCAAGGCAGUGCUAAUUGAGAAUGGAAAAUUGAAGAGUGUUAGCUCUGUAUAGUAGGAUUUCAAAAAUUUCUAAGUGCAAAUAUGCAAGCAUAGGAGUAAAAAACAGACCAAAUGCUAUCUCUGAAAUUAGUUGAACCGCUCUCCUUUUAUGGGUAGCUCAGGAACCAAGACCUGCAAGGGGAUAAUAAAUAACUGAAAUGAUGAUGUUAUCUCAAAAUGCUCUUUCAAAAAUUCACUUAUGGAAUGUGGUGUUUCUCAAUCCAAAAUUCACGCACAAGGUAGUCAUUCUAAGAAACCUAAGCAAGCAUUAACCAAAACAACUUAGCUAAAAACUUGAUACUUACCACUCAGUAAAUAAUUCAAGAAAAAAGAGCAACAUAGUAUAAAUUCACAAAAAUGAAGCAAGUUCCUUCAACAUGAUAUAAAUUAUAGGUUGAAACUGUAUCAAACUGGAAAACCAAGGUUCUAUAUAUAUAGAAAAAUAGCACAAUGGUAGAAGAAAUCUGAGAAAGAAAGGAACAAAAUGGCAACCAUGCUCAAUGCAGGAGUGAGUAUCUGCCGGUACACAGUAUCUGCACACA
Molecule: long non-coding RNA, 1902 nt
Filed under: Sorghum bicolor (sorghum)
Lineage: Eukaryota; Viridiplantae; Streptophyta; Magnoliopsida; Poales; Poaceae
Description: long non-coding RNA (SBIC_LNC007442)
Source: RNAcentral